This 218-nucleotide ribosomal RNA is filed under the name uncultured bacterium. RNAcentral's name for it is "partial 16S ribosomal RNA". It matches the Rfam family "Bacterial small subunit ribosomal RNA", at positions 113 to 334 of the family's 1533-position model. The record is from RNAcentral.
UAGUAUGGGGAUCUGCCCGAUAGAGGGGGAUAACUACUGGAAACGGUGGCUAAUACCGCAUAAUGUCUACGGACCAAAGCAGGGGCUCUUCGGACCUUGCACUAUCGGAUGAACCCAUAUGGGAUUAGCUAGUAGGUGGGGUAGAGGCUCACCUAGGCGACGAUCUCUAGCUGGUCUGAGAGGAUGAUCAGCCACACUGGGACUGAGACACGGCCCAG